ACGAACGCUGGCGGCGUGCUUAACACAUGCAAGUCGAACGGAAAGGCCUCUUUCGGGGGGUACUCGAGUGGCGAACGGGUGAGUAACACGUGAGUAACCUGCCCUUGACUUUGGGAUAACUUCAGGAAACUGGGGCUAAUACCGGAUAGGAGCUCCUGCUGCAUGGUGGGGGUUGGAAAGUUUCGGCGGUUGGGGAUGGACUCGCGGCUUAUCAGCUUGUUGGUGGGGUAGUGGCUUACCAAGGCUUUGACGGGUAGCCGGCCUGAGAGGGUGACCGGCCACAUUGGGACUGAGAUACGGCCCAGACUCCUACGGGAGGCAGAAGUGGGGAAUAUUGCACAAUGGGUGGAAGCCUGAUGCAGCAACGCCGUGUGCGGGAUGACGGCCUUCGGGUUGUAAACCGCUUUCGCUCAUGACGAAGCUUUGUGUGACGGUAGUGGGUAAAGAAGCACCGGCUAACUACGUG
RNAcentral lists this ribosomal RNA (466 nucleotides) under uncultured bacterium. RNAcentral describes it as "partial 16S ribosomal RNA". It matches the Rfam family "Bacterial small subunit ribosomal RNA", at positions 29 to 507 of the family's 1533-position model. The record is from RNAcentral.